This 64-nucleotide microRNA precursor is filed under the name Patiria miniata (bat star). RNAcentral's name for it is "Pmi-Mir-2011_pre stem-loop". The record is from RNAcentral. Lineage: Eukaryota; Metazoa; Echinodermata; Asteroidea; Valvatida; Asterinidae.
CAGUCACUAUCACACCUUAGGUGUGUCAGUAUUUCCAGGUCACCAAGGUGUGUUAGUGAUGACA